CGGAAUCUGGCCGGAAAAAAAUAUUUCAGAAAAAAAAAUUAUUUUCUGAAAAAAAAAAAGUUUUGGGGGUUAAUGUGAUAUAUUUGUUUAAAUCCGGGGUCAAUGUGUAAUAUUUAAGAAGUUAGAGCAUAAUGGGUGGAAUUGAUAAGAAUUAGGGUUAAAAUUGGGGUCAAAAUUGAAAUUAGGGUUAAAAUUGGUUAAUUGAUGAAAUUAGGCUAAAUUGGGGUGUAAAUCAUGAAAUUGGAGUUGAAUUGGAUUUCAAUGAAUUGAGGGUAAUUUUGGUAUAUAUAAAGGGAUUUUCCUUAUUUGCAAAUAAGUUUGAAUGGGGUGGGUUUAUUUGAGAAACAAAAAAGUUGGAUGUCCCUUUUUUAAUUAAGUGCCCUUGUCAUGGGCCUAUUUGCCAUUACCCCUAAA
RNAcentral lists this long non-coding RNA (414 nucleotides) under Erythranthe guttata (spotted monkey flower). RNAcentral's name for it is "long non-coding RNA (EGUT_LNC003471)". Lineage: Eukaryota; Viridiplantae; Streptophyta; Magnoliopsida; Lamiales; Phrymaceae. The record is from RNAcentral.